GCCAUCGUGGCGCAGCGGCACUGCGUCAGACUGUAAAAAUGAUGAUUGUGUGUUCAAUUUCCACUUGGGGUA
This 72-nucleotide transfer RNA is filed under the name Heliconius melpomene (postman butterfly). Its description in RNAcentral is "tRNA HMEL015386". Lineage: Eukaryota; Metazoa; Arthropoda; Insecta; Lepidoptera; Nymphalidae. The record is from RNAcentral.